CGGCAACAUCAGAUUGAAACACCGGUUCUCUUACGAUCACCAAAGUUAAGCAACGUUGAGCCUGGUCAGUACCUAGGUUUGUGACGGCUUGGGAAUACCAGAUGCUGUAA
Molecule: non-coding RNA, 110 nt
Organism: Acanthosepion pharaonis
Lineage: Eukaryota; Metazoa; Mollusca; Cephalopoda; Sepiida; Sepiidae
Source: the annotation of a GenBank genome assembly